This 801-nucleotide ribosomal RNA is filed under the name uncultured Pelagibacteraceae bacterium. RNAcentral's name for it is "bacterial SSU rRNA". It matches the Rfam family "Bacterial small subunit ribosomal RNA", at positions 39 to 888 of the family's 1533-position model. The record is from RNAcentral. Lineage: Bacteria; Pseudomonadati; Pseudomonadota; Alphaproteobacteria; Candidatus Pelagibacterales; Candidatus Pelagibacteraceae.
GCGGCACGCCUAACACAUGCAAGUCGAACGAAGUAGCAAUACUUAGUGGCAGACGGGUGAGUAACAUGUAGGUAUCUUCCCUUUGGCCUGGAAUAACACGAGGAAACUUGUGCUAAUACCGGAUAAGUCUUUACGGAGAAAGCUUUAUGCACCAUUGGAUGAGCCUGCACUUGAUUAGUUAGUUGGUGGGGUAAUAGCCUACCAAGACUUUGAUCAAUAGCUGAUUUGAGAGGAUGAUCAGCCACAUUGGGACUGAGACACGGCCCAAACUCCUACGGGAGGCAGCAGUGGGGAAUCUUGCACAAUGGAGGAAACUCUGAUGCAGCGAUGCCGCGUGAGUGAAGAAGGCCCUUGGGUUGUAAAGCUCUUUCGUCGGGGAAGAAAAUGACUGUACCCGAAUAAGAAGGUCCGGCUAACUUCGUGCCAGCAGCCGCGGUAAUACGAAGGGACCUAGCGUAGUUCGGAAUUACUGGGCUUAAAGAGUUCGUAGGUGGUUGAAAAAGUUGGUGGUGAAAUCCCAGAGCUUAACUCUGGAACUGCCAUCAAAACUUUUCAGCUAGAGUUUGAUAGAGGAAAGCAGAAUUUCUAGUGUAGAGGUGAAAUUCGUAGAUAUUAGAAAGAAUACCAAUUGCGAAGGCAGCUUUCUGGAUCAUUACUGACACUGAGGAACGAAAGCAUGGGUAGCGAAGAGGAUUAGAUACCCUCGUAGUCCAUGCCGUAAACGAUGUGUGUUAGACGUUGGAAAUUUAUUUUCAGUGUCGCAGCGAAAGCGAUAAACACACCGCCUGGGGAGUACGACCG